AGUGAACGCUGGCGGUAGGCCUAACACAUGCAAGUCGAACGGCAGCACAGUAAGAGCUUGCUCUUACGGGUGGCGAGUGGCGGACGGGUGAGGAAUACAUCGGAAUCUACUUUUUCGCGGGGGAUAACGUAGGGAAACUUACGCUAAUACCGCAUACGACCUACGGGUGAAAGCAGGGGAUCUUCGGACCUUGCGCGAUUGAAUGAGCCGAUGUCGGAUUAGCUAGUUGGCGGGGUAAAGGCCCACCAAGGCGACGAUCCGUAGCUGGUCUGGGAGGAUGAUCAGCCACACUGGAACUGAGACACGGUCCAGACUCCUACGGGAGGCAGCAGUGGGGAAUAUUGGACAAUGGGCGCAAGCCUGAUCCAGCCAUACCGCGUGGGUGAAGAAGGCCUUCGGGUUGUAAAGCCCUUUUGUUGGGAAAGAAAAGCAGCAGGUUAAUACCCCGCUGUUCUGACGGUACCCAAAGAAUAAGCACCGGCUAACUUCGUG
Molecule: ribosomal RNA, 492 nt
Filed under: uncultured bacterium
Lineage: Bacteria
Description: partial 16S ribosomal RNA
Rfam family: Bacterial small subunit ribosomal RNA
Source: RNAcentral